This is a long non-coding RNA of Fukomys damarensis (Damara mole-rat), 597 nucleotides long. RefSeq lists it as uncharacterized. Lineage: Eukaryota; Metazoa; Chordata; Mammalia; Rodentia; Bathyergidae. The record is from RefSeq and is a predicted model, not a curated record. The transcript is spliced from 3 exons.
UGGGACUAGGUCUCAUGUGCAGCCCAGAGGUAAAGGUUUUAGCUAGAGAGAAACGUCCUCUAAAAAUGACACAAAUGCCGCCCUUAGCAUCUAUUUCUCAAUACUUUCCCAAAACAGGAUAUUAUGCUGUUUUCUCCAUCAGCCCCCGUUGGCAGCUGGUGCCAAUCAGGGGGUUUGCAGGAGCAGGAUUGUCUGAUGAAAUGCAGGACGGAUGCCUCGUUAGGUAUGAACUUCAGAUGAACAGCCAACACUUGCUUGAUAAUAACCCUGACACAUUGUUGCUGCUGGUAUUAUACAACUUACGGGUGAAAGAAAAUUGGUGUUCAGAGAAGUGAAUGACUUGCUCAUGACGCAGAGGCAGCCAUGACCACAGUGGCGUCAGCCUCCUUCGUUGCUUGCAUGCUUUAUUGGCCAAAGGAAGGAUUCAGACAACUCAAGUGGGAAGUGGUAAGUUACUUUCCCCACACUGGUUGCGAAAUGUCAAUCCUACCACAUGUGUGCCCAGAAAGAGGAGAACCAGAAUAUGUGGGAAUAGUCCUGUUAUUACUGUUGCACUUAACAGCAGUCAAUUGAAAUCCUUCUUAUUUUUGGUCCUUU